UCUUCCGCAAUGGACGAAAGUCUGACGGAGCAACGCCGCGUGUGUGAUGAAUGUUUUCGGAUCGUAAAACUCUGUUGUUAGGGAAGAACAAGUAUCGUUCGAAUAGGGCGGUACCUUGACGGUACCUAACCAGAAAGCCACGGCUAACUACGUGCCAGCAGCCGCGGUAAUACGUAGGUGGCAAGCGUUGUCCGGAAUUAUUGGGCGUAAAGCGCGUGCAGGCGGUUUCUGAAGUCUGAUGUGAAAUCUUGCGGCUCAACCGCAAGCGGCCAUUGGAAACUGGGUGACUUGAGUGCAGAAGAGGAGAGUGGAAUUCCACGUGUGGCGGUGAAAUGCGUAGAGAUGUGGAGGAACACCAGUGGCGAAGGAGACUCUCUGGUCUGUAACUGAUGCUGAGGCGCGAAAGCGUGGGGAGCGAACAGG
Molecule: ribosomal RNA, 423 nt
Filed under: uncultured bacterium
Lineage: Bacteria
Description: bacterial SSU rRNA
Rfam family: Bacterial small subunit ribosomal RNA
Source: RNAcentral